AGGGUUCGAUUCUGGCUCAGGAUGAACGCUGGCGGCGUGCUUAACACAUGCAAGUCGAACGGAGUUUUAAACGGAAGUCCUCGGAUGGAAGUUUAGAAACUUAGUGGCGGACGGGUGAGUAACGCGUGGGUAACCUGCCUCAUACAGGGGGAUAACAGUCGGAAACGAUUGCUAAAACCGCAUAACAUAGCGAAACCGCAUGAUUUUGCUAUCAAAUAUUUAUAGGUAUGAGAUGGGCCCGCGUCUGAUUAGCUAGUUGGUGGGGUAAUGGCCUACCAAGGCGACGAUCAGUAGCCGGCUUGAGAGAGUGACCGGCCACAUUGGGACUGAGACACGGCCCAAACUCCUACGGGAGGCAGCAGUGGGGAAUAUUGGACAAUGGGGGAAACCCUGAUCCAGCCGACGCCGCGUGAGUGAAGAAGUAUUUCGGUAUGUAAAGCUCUAUCAGCAGGGAAGAUAAUGACAGUACCUGACUAAGAAGCCCCGGCUAACUACGUGCCAGCCGCCGC
RNAcentral lists this ribosomal RNA (509 nucleotides) under uncultured bacterium. Its description in RNAcentral is "bacterial SSU rRNA". It matches the Rfam family "Bacterial small subunit ribosomal RNA", at positions 8 to 518 of the family's 1533-position model. The record is from RNAcentral.